GAGAAUUGAUACAACUACAGCUGC
RNAcentral lists this non-coding RNA (24 nucleotides) under Arabidopsis thaliana (thale cress). Lineage: Eukaryota; Viridiplantae; Streptophyta; Magnoliopsida; Brassicales; Brassicaceae. The record is from RNAcentral.